AUGCCGUUAGUACUUCGGUACAUAGGAGACAGGUGGUGCAUGGUUGUCGUCAGCUCGUGUCGUGAGAUGUUGGGUUAAGUCCCGCAACGAGCGCAACCCUUAUCUUUAGUAGCCAGCAGUAAGAUGGGCACUCUAGAGAGACUGCCGGGGAUAACCCGGAGGAAGGUGGGGAUGACGUCAAAUCAUCAUGCCCCUUAUGACCAGGGCUACACACGUGCUACAAUGGCGUAAACAAAGAGAAGCGAAGUCGUGAGGCAGAGCGAAUCUCAAAAAUAACGUCUCAGUUCGGAUUGUAGUCUGCAACUCGACUACAUGAAGCUGGAAUCGCUAGUAAUCGCAGAUCAGAAUGCUGCGGUGAAUACGUUCCCGGGUCUUGUACACACCGA
RNAcentral lists this ribosomal RNA (386 nucleotides) under uncultured bacterium. RNAcentral describes it as "bacterial SSU rRNA". It matches the Rfam family "Bacterial small subunit ribosomal RNA", at positions 1006 to 1393 of the family's 1533-position model. The record is from RNAcentral.